Molecule: ribosomal RNA, 1038 nt
Filed under: uncultured bacterium
Lineage: Bacteria
Description: bacterial SSU rRNA
Rfam family: Bacterial small subunit ribosomal RNA
Source: RNAcentral
UUAGAGUUUGAUCAUGGCUCAGGACGAACGCUGGCGGCGUGCCUAAUACAUGCAAGUCGAACGCGUCCCGGUUGAUGAAGUUGAGUGCUUGCACUUGAUUGAUUCAACUUGGUGACGAGUGGCGAACUGGUGAGUAACACGUGGGUAACCUGCCCCGAAGCGGGGGAUAACAUUUGGAAACAGGUGCUAAUACCGCAUAACAACCAAAACCUCCUGGUUUUGGUUUAAAAGACGGCUUCGGCUGUCACUUUGGGAUGGACCCGCGGCGUAUUAGCUAGUUGGUGAGGUAACGGCUCACCAAGGCGAUGAUACGUAGCCGACCUGAGAGGGUAAUCGGCCACAUUGGGACUGAGACACGGCCCAAACUCCUACGGGAGGCAGCAGUAGGGAAUCUUCCACAAUGGACGCAAGUCUGAUGGAGCAACGCCGCGUGAGUGAUGAAGGGUUUCGGCUCGUAAAACUCUGUUGUUGGAGAAGAACGGGUGUCAGAGUAACUGUUGACAUCGUGACGGUAUCCAACCAGAAAGCCACGGCUAACUACGUGCCAGCAGCCGCGGUAAUACGUAGGUGGCAAGCGUUGUCCGGAUUUAUUGGGCGUAAAGCGAGCGCAGGCGGUUUUUUAGGUCUGAUGUGAAAGCCUUCGGCUUAACCGGAGAAGUGCAUCGGAAACCGGGAGACUUGAGUGCAGAAGAGGACAGUGGAACUCCAUGUGUAGCGGUGAAAUGCGUAGAUAUAUGGAAGAACACCAGUGGCGAANGCGGCUGUCUGGUCUGCAACUGACGCUGAGGCUCGAAAGCAUGGGUAGCGAACAGGAUUAGAUACCCUGGUAGUCCAUGCCGUAAACGAUGAGUGCUAAGUGUUGGAAGGGUUUCCGCCCUUCAGUGCUGCAGCUAACGCAUUAAGCACUCCGCCUGGGGAGUACGACCGCAAGGUUGAAACUCAAAGGAAUUGACGGGGGCCCGCACAAGCGGUGGAGCAUGUGGUUUAAUUCGAUGCUACGCGAAGAACCUUACCAGGUCUUGACAUCUUCUGCUAACC